AUACGGAGGGUGCAAGCGUUAAUCGGAAUUACUGGGCGUAAAGCGCGCGUAGGCGGUUUAGUAAGUCGGAUGUGAAAGCCCAGGGCUCAACCUUGGAAUUGCAUUCGAUACUGCUUAACUAGAGUAUGGUAGAGGGAAGUGGAAUUUCCGGUGUAGCGGUGAAAUGCGUAGAUAUCGGAAGGAACACCAGUGGCGAAGGCGACUUCCUGGGCCAAUACUGACGCUGAGGUGCGAAAGCGUGGGGAGCAAACAGGAUUAGAUACCCCAGUAGUCC
RNAcentral lists this ribosomal RNA (274 nucleotides) under uncultured bacterium. Its description in RNAcentral is "partial 16S ribosomal RNA". It matches the Rfam family "Bacterial small subunit ribosomal RNA", at positions 523 to 796 of the family's 1533-position model. The record is from RNAcentral.